Molecule: ribosomal RNA, 511 nt
Filed under: uncultured bacterium
Lineage: Bacteria
Description: partial 16S ribosomal RNA
Rfam family: Bacterial small subunit ribosomal RNA
Source: RNAcentral
GACGAACGCUGGCGGCGUGCCUAAUACAUGCAAGUCGAGCGGAAGUUGGAGAGCUUGCUCUUCAACUUUAGCGGCGGACGGGUGAGUAACACGUGGGCAACCUGCCCUGCAGAUCGGGAUAACUCCGGGAAACCGGUGCUAAUACCGAAUAGUUUUCGCCACCUCCUGGUGGCGUACGGAAAGACGGUUUCGGCUGUCACUGCAGGAUGGGCCCGCGGCGCAUUAGCUAGUUGGUGGGGUAACGGCCCACCAAGGCGACGAUGCGUAGCCGACCUGAGAGGGUGAUCGGCCACACUGGGACUGAGACACGGCCCAGACUCCUACGGGAGGCAGCAGUAGGGAAUCUUCCGCAAUGGACGAAAGUCUGACGGAGCAACGCCGCGUGAGUGACGAAGGUUUUCGGAUCGUAAAACUCUGUUGUGAGGGAAGAACAAGUACCACUUAACUACUGGUACCUUGACGGUACCUCACCAGAAAGCCACGGCUAACUACGUGCCAGCAGCCGCAGUAA